AACUUCGGGAGAAGGGGUGCCUACGCAAGUAGGUCGCAGAGAAUAGGCCCAAGCAACUGUUUAGCAAAAACACAGGUCUCUGCUAAAGCGAAAGCUGAAGUAUAGGGGCUGACGCCUGCCCGGUGCUGGAAGGUUAAGGGGAAUACUUAGCGCAAGCGAAGGUAUGAACUUAAGCCCCAGUAAACGGCGGCCGUAACUAUAACGGUCCUAAGGUAGCGAAAUUCCUUGUCGGGUAAGUUCCGACCCGCACGAAUGGCGUAAUGAUUUGGGCACUGUCUCGACAACAAAUCCGGCGAAAUUGUAUUGCGAGUGAAGAUGCUCGCUACCCGCGAUUGGACGGAAAGACCCCGUAGAGCUUUACUGUAGCUUAGCAUUGAAUUUCGGUAUUGUCUGUACAGGAUAGGUGGGAGACUGAGAAGCAAGGGCGUUAGCCUUUGUGGAGUCAACCUUGGGAUACCACCCUGACAGUACUGGGAUUCUAACCGGUGGCCAUGAAACUGGUCACGGGACAUUGUUAGGUGGGCAGUUUGACUGGGGCGGUCGCCUCCAAAAAAGUAACGGAGGCGCCCAAAGGUUCCCUCAGAACGGUUGGAAAUCGUUCGAAGAGUGCAAAGGCAGAAGGGAGCCUGACUGCGACACAAACAAGUGGAGCAGGGACGAAAGUCGGGCUUAGUGAUCCGGUGGUUCCUCGUGGGAGGGCCAUCGCUCAACGGAUAAAAGCUACCUCGGGGAUAACAGGCUGAUCUCCCCCAAGAGUCCACAUCGACGGGGAGGUUUGGCACCUCGAUGUCGGCUCGUCGCAUCCUGGGGCUGAAGUAGGUCCCAAGGGUUGGGCUGUUCGCCCAUUAAAGCGGCACGCGAGCUGGGUUCAGAACGUCGUGAGACAGUUCGGUCCCUAUCCGUCGCGGGCGUAGGAAAUUUGAGAGGAGCUGUCCUUAGUACGAGAGGACCGGGAUGGACUGACCUCUGGUGCACCAGUUGUUCCGCCAGGAGCACAGCUGGGUAGCUAUGUCAGGACGGGAUAAACGCUGAAAGCAUCUAAGCGUGAAGCCCACCUCAAGAUAAGAUUUCCCAUAGCAUAAGCUAGUAAGACCCCUUGAAGAACACAAGGUUGAUAGGUUAGAGGUGUAAGCAUGGUAACAUGUUCAGCUGACUAAUACUAAUAGGUCGAGGGCUUGACCUA
RNAcentral lists this non-coding RNA (1183 nucleotides) under Clostridium magnum DSM 2767. RNAcentral's name for it is "Bacterial large subunit ribosomal RNA". It matches the Rfam family "Bacterial large subunit ribosomal RNA", at positions 1732 to 2925 of the family's 2925-position model. The record is from Rfam by way of RNAcentral. Lineage: Bacteria; Bacillati; Bacillota; Clostridia; Eubacteriales; Clostridiaceae.